UUUCAAACUUGUGCCUUUGAA
Caenorhabditis elegans is the source of this 21-nucleotide non-coding RNA. NCBI's taxonomy places the organism in Eukaryota, Metazoa, Nematoda, Chromadorea, Rhabditida, Rhabditidae. The record is from Ensembl.